GUGGGUACAACUUGGUGGUAGAGUGUGUGCUUAGCAUACAUGAGGUCCUGGGUUCAAUCCCCAGUACCUCUA
Molecule: transfer RNA, 72 nt
Filed under: Camelus bactrianus (Bactrian camel)
Lineage: Eukaryota; Metazoa; Chordata; Mammalia; Artiodactyla; Camelidae
Also listed under: 2 other names
Rfam family: tRNA
About the family: Transfer RNA (tRNA) molecules are approximately 80 nucleotides in length. Their secondary structure includes four short double-helical elements and three loops (D, anti-codon, and T loops).
Source: Rfam by way of RNAcentral